UUAGCUAACGGUUUUUUUUUCAUUAAUUGUAUAAUAGACUCCACGUAUUCAGUCGAUUGGAAGUCGUUUGUGAAUGUUUAUUAUUGGAGGAAAUACGGAAAAUAAAUUUAACUUUACGUCCCCUACAGUAAUCAUAAUUUAAAAAUCAUGGUUAUUUCUAUUGACAAUUAUCUUCAUUUAAUUGAGGAUGAUCAGUAUCUGUUGUUUUUGUUUCCAAACAUCCCAUAGAUCCCAUAGCAACAUCCGAACAAUUUGUUUACGAAUUAUAAAAAAAGUACAUGAACUAUUCUCCUACGCAGUAUUUUGGGUGGUUGACAAUGUAUGAAUAGAGGUAGACACUACGAUGUGUUGAUAUUCAAAAAUAUGCUUUCAAAUUAUCGACACCGCAUUAGAAAGUGCACUGGUGAAAAGAAUUUUAUAGCUGGAAAUUACUGGAAUGAAGUUUCAACCUCCAAUCGAACAACGUCGUUUUUAUUUCUUGAUAAAUUAAUUUCUCCCUAAAACUAAACUUUACAUAGUGCACUUUAAAAAAAAAAAACGAAGAGAAGAAAACAAAUAAGUUCCAUGAAAAAUUUUAAUUGCUUUGACAAUGUUUUACAUGGCAUCAUCCCAAAAAGCAGAAAACUAUUUCUGAUGAAAAACUUCUAAAGCUGUUCACAAUAAUUGUAAUCUAGUUAAUAAUCAACUAGAAUUAGUGUCUCAUAAUUCCCCUUUGAUUUUGUGUAAAUUGUUAUCAUGAUCCCCCACCCCGUUCUUUGUAAUAGUAUAUAUUGUUCAAACACUUUUUUAGUAAUCUUUUGUAUACUUUAGAUAAUAAUCGUUAUGACCGAAAUAGUAUUGUGGAGGCAAGUAAAAUUUUUCGUGAAACUUAUUUGUAAGUUAUGAAUAGAAUUUUAUGCUUGAAUAUCAUCGGUUUGCAAUUUCAACCCCUAAUCUAAAAACGUUGGUUUUAUUUCCCUAUAGGUUUCUCCCUUAUCAAACGCACUAAAAGUACUAAAACGUAUUAAAGUUAUCAGUAAAAUUUUAUAGUUGGAAAUUACCGGGAUGCACCUUCAACCCCCAAGUUAAAAACUUCGUUUUUAUUUCUUUUAAUAAUUUAAUCACUUAUUAAACGAGCUGAAUGUACCAAAAUAUAUUAAACUUAUUGUGAGACAUCAGCAAAACAUAUUUUAUAGUUCGAAAUUAUGCAUGAUCUUCAGCCCCUGUCUGAUUUAAAAAUGCAGUAUUUAUCUCUUGAUAAAUGACAUGUACCUAAAGUAGUACCCAAAUGUAAUAAAAUAGUCGUUGGUGGACAGAUAUUAUGUGGUUAAAACUUACUAGUGAAUAUUUUAAACCCUGAUAUUGAAAGCUAACUCUUCAAUAAGAAAGGAAUUCAAAACUGCUACUGUAGCCUAGUGCUCCGAAUACUUUGCAGUGAAGUGGGUGGCCUAUGUAAAGAAUGAAUAGUUUGCUAUUGGUGUUUAAAAUCACAGGUAUUUUAAAUUGAAGUUAUCAUGGUAACAAUGCCUGAAAUUACAUGAUGGCGCUGCAAUCUAGAUAAAGACCGAAAUGUUACACUGCGAGUCGAUUUUUUUUUAACAACUAAAUUUUUCGAUCUCAAGGAAAUAAUCUAUUUAUUUU
This is a long non-coding RNA of Agrilus planipennis (emerald ash borer), 1620 nucleotides long. RefSeq lists it as uncharacterized. The transcript is spliced from 3 exons. Lineage: Eukaryota; Metazoa; Arthropoda; Insecta; Coleoptera; Buprestidae. The record is from RefSeq and is a predicted model, not a curated record.